Molecule: ribosomal RNA, 431 nt
Filed under: uncultured bacterium
Lineage: Bacteria
Description: partial 16S ribosomal RNA
Rfam family: Bacterial small subunit ribosomal RNA
Source: RNAcentral
AACGAACGCUGGCGGCAGGCUUAACACAUGCAAGUCGAACGCCCCGCAAGGGGAGUGGCAGACGGGUGAGUAACGCGUGGGAACAUACCCUUUUCUACGGAAUAGCUCUGGGAAACUGGAAUUAAUACCGUAUACGCCCUGCGGGGGAAAGAUUUAUCGGGGAAGGAUUGGCCCGCGUUGGAUUAGCUAGUUGGUGGGGUAAAGGCCUACCAAGGCGACGAUCCAUAGCUGGUCUGAGAGGAUGAUCAGCCACAUUGGGACUGAGACACGGCCCAAACUCCUACGGGAGGCAGCAGUGGGGAAUAUUGGACAAUGGGCGCAAGCCUGAUCCAGCCAUGCCGCGUGAGUGAUGAAGGCCUUAGGGUUGUAAAGCUCUUUCACCGAUGAAGAUAAUGACGGUAGUCGGAGAAGAAGCCCCGGCUAACUUCGUG